RNAcentral lists this ribosomal RNA (506 nucleotides) under uncultured bacterium. RNAcentral's name for it is "partial 16S ribosomal RNA". It matches the Rfam family "Bacterial small subunit ribosomal RNA", at positions 29 to 523 of the family's 1533-position model. The record is from RNAcentral.
AGUGAACGCUGGCGGUAGGCCUAACACAUGCAAGUCGAACGGCAGCACAGGAGAGCUUGCUCUCUGGGUGGCGAGUGGCGGACGGGUGAGGAAUACAUCGGAAUCUACUCUGUCGUGGGGGAUAACGUAGGGAAACUUACGCUAAUACCGCAUACGACCUACGGGUGAAAGCAGGGGACCUCCGGCCCUUGCGCGAUUGAAUGAGCCGAUGUCGGAUUAGCUAGUUGGCGGGGUAAAGGCCCAACAAGGCGACGAUCCGUAGCUGGUCUGAGAGGAUGAUCAGCUAGAAUGGAACUGAGACACGGUCAAUACUCCUAUGGGAGGGAGCAGUGGGGAAAAUUGGACAAUGGGCGCAAGCCUGAUCCAGCCAGACCGCGUGGGUGAAGAAGGCCUGCGGGUUGUAAAGCCCUUUUGUUGGGAAAGAAAUCCAGCUGGCUAAUACCCGGUUGGGAUGACGGUACCCAAAGAAUAAGCACCGGCUAACUUCGUGCCAGCCGCCGCCGUAA